AGAACGAACGCUGGCGGCAGGCUUAACACAUGCAAGUCGAACGCUCGUAGCAAUACGGGAGUGGCAGACGGGUGAGUAACGCGUGGGAACAUACCCUCCGGUUCGGAAUAGCUCAGGGAAACUUGGAUUAAUACCGGAUACGGCCGAGAGGCGAAAGAUUUAUCGCCGGAGGAUUGGCCCGCGUUCGAUUAGCUAGUUGGUGAGGUAACGGCUCACCAAGGCGAUGAUCGAUAGCUGGUCUGAGAGGAUGAUCAGCCACAUUGGGACUGAGACACGGCCCAAACUCCUACGGGAGGCAGCAGUGGGGAAUAUUGGACAAUGGGCGCAAGCCUGAUCCAGCCAUGCCGCGUGAGUGAUGACGGCCUCAGGGUUGUAAAGCUCUUUCGCUCGGGACGAUAAUGACGGUACCGAGAUAAGAAGCCCCGGCUAACUUCGUGCCAGCAGCCGC
RNAcentral lists this ribosomal RNA (448 nucleotides) under uncultured bacterium. Its description in RNAcentral is "SSU rRNA". It matches the Rfam family "Bacterial small subunit ribosomal RNA", at positions 26 to 518 of the family's 1533-position model. The record is from RNAcentral.